GAUGAACGCUGGCGGCGUGCCUAAUACAUGCAAGUCGAGCGGUAAGGCCCUUCGGGGUACACGAGCGGCGGACGGCUGAGUAACACGUAGGAACGUACCCCAAACUGAGGGAUAAGCACCAGAAAUGGUGUCUAAUACCGCAGGUGGCCUUCGGGCUAAAGCUCCGGCGGUUUGGGAACGGCCUGCGUCCGAUUAGCUAGUUGGUAGUGUAAUGGACUACCAAGGCGACGAUCGGUAGCUGGUCUGAGAGGAUGAUCAGCCAGACUGGGACUGAGACACGGCCCAGACUCCUACGGGAGGCAGCAGUAGGGAAUUUUCCACAAUGGGGGCAACCCUGAUGGAGCAACGCCGCGUGCAGGAUGAAGGCCUUCGGAUUGUAAACUGCUUUUAUCUGUGACGAUUAUGACGGUAGCAGAUGAAUAAGGACCUGCUAACUACGCGCCAGCCGCCGCCGUAA
Molecule: ribosomal RNA, 457 nt
Filed under: uncultured bacterium
Lineage: Bacteria
Description: partial 16S ribosomal RNA
Rfam family: Bacterial small subunit ribosomal RNA
Source: RNAcentral